RNAcentral lists this transfer RNA (71 nucleotides) under Pseudomyrmex pallidus. RNAcentral describes it as "tRNA-Lys". It matches the Rfam family "tRNA". From Rfam's summary of the family: Transfer RNA (tRNA) molecules are approximately 80 nucleotides in length. The record is from RNAcentral. Lineage: Eukaryota; Metazoa; Arthropoda; Insecta; Hymenoptera; Formicidae.
CAUUAAAUGACUGAAAUAUAAGUAUUGAUUUUUUAAAUCAAAUAUAGUAGAUUAAAAUCUACUUUUAAUGG